Molecule: long non-coding RNA, 2233 nt
Filed under: Homo sapiens (human)
Lineage: Eukaryota; Metazoa; Chordata; Mammalia; Primates; Hominidae
Description: long independently transcribed non-coding RNA 3025, transcript variant 1 (LINC03025)
Source: RNAcentral
GCGUAGUGCUUGGCGCGGUGACCAGACCUGGCCGCCUUCCUGACUGCACAGAGCAAGAGGCCACACUCUGGAUCCCAGGCCGGGUCCCUGUGGUUCUGGGAGGGAGGUCCCGGAUGCCUCCCAGAUCUCGGGCUUCUGUAACCCUGAGGCUGGGUUUUAAAAUCACGGCUCUUCCAAGUUACACGAAGAGUCCAUGGUCAAGGGUCAAGGGUGGUCUUCGACCCUCGGGGUCGUCUUCUUGAGAAAUGGCUGAGAGCUAAGCCUAGAGCUGCCCAGGGAAGGAAGCCAAAGAGCUGGAGCCGAGCGCGAAGGGCUGGGAGGCGCGGGGAGGCCCCUUACCCCCGCCCGCCCCCCACACUGUCCUGGCCGCUAAUAACGCUGAUAAUAGUAACAGUAUCGGCCAACUGUUUCCCCCCUGCUCCUGGUCUGCCAGGCACCGGAUCCUCCUUUAGCACUCCCAGCACUCACUGAAGAAGACACUAUGGAAUUCUCCGUUUUCCAGACUAGAAAUAAGUAACUCGGAGAAAUUAAGAAACUCGCCCGACGACCCUCAGGCAGUAGCACCUGGCCAGCUGCAGGUGCUGUUGUAGGAGCAAGGGAUACAAUGAUGAUCAAGGCAGAUGCAGCCGUUACCUUCAGGUUGUGGAGUCCGGAUACAGACUGGAGGCAGGCAGCUGUAAGAUGUGUGAGAAAUGCUGCGCUGGAUCAGCCCAUGGUAUUAGGAGAGCAGGCUUCGGUAGAUUGCAAAUGACCUGCUUUCUUUCGGAUCCCGGGCUGCUUUCGGACACCUGUCGAAUAGUAAAUCCCAAGUAAGGUACCUGCGGUCGUCGGCAGAUCUGAAUUUUCUUCUUGGACACCUAAUACCCACAGUCCUCCAGAGACCGAGAGGUUGAUGUCACUCCCAAUAUCGGAGGAAGUAUACACCCCCGUGUGAGAUGGUCCUUAAUAAUAUUCCACGGCGGAGGGGGUGAUAUGACUACAUACAUGGCAGAAAGUGGAAACCUCCCAGGGAUAUUGUUCCCACGAUCCUGGAGGGAAGAAGAUGAUGUUACUUUCAAUAUGACAGAAGGUGGAUGAAGUGGUGGACUGCCCCUCCACACCUGUGGACACGCCCCCACUGAUAUUCCUUCUAAUUGCAGCGUGGGAGAGGAGGAUAUGACACGCGAUAUCGCAGGGAGUAGAAACACCCCUGUGAUACUGUUCUUAAUAUUCAGGGAGGAAGAGGAUGAUAUUACUCCCAAUACAGACGGGUGUACACCCUCUGUACACCGAGGGUGUACACCUGUCUGUGAAAGAGUUCGUAAUCUCCAGAGGGGGAGAUGAUAUUACUCACAAUAUGGUAAAGAGGCUGUGAGUCCACGGAGGAUCCUCAGAGCCAGCGGGGGAAGAGGGGCUGGCUCUCAGUCCCCGCCUCGCGGGGGUGACUCCCCCCAGUGCGAUGGGGGUCCUAAGAGCCAGUGGGGGAAGAGGGGCUGGCUCUGAGACCCCGCCUCGCGGGGGGUGCCUCCCCGCCCUGUGAUGGGGGUCCGAAGAGCCAGAAGGCUUAGAGGGGCUGGCUCUCAGUCCCCGCCUCGCGGGGGGUGCCUCCUCCCCCUGCGAUGGGGGUCGUAAGAGCCACUGGGGGAAUAGGGGCUUGCUCUCAGUCACCGCCUCGCGGGGGGUGCCUCCUUUCCUUUCUACAUAGACACAGUGACAGUCUGAUCUCUCUUUCUUUUCCCUACAGAUGGACACGCCCCCACUGAUAUUGUUUUUAAUGCAGCGUGGGAGGGGAGGAUAUGACACGCGAUAUCGCAGCUGAGUGCCACGUGCUGACGUCACUAAGAUCAAUACAGCAAACUCUGAAAGAUGGACAGAGAGACAGGAGAUGGUCCUUUAUAAUGCAGUGUGAUCUGUGCUGCAAUAGAGUUUUGGAAGCUAGAAGUUCAAAACGAGGUGUUGGCAGCACCAUGCUCUCUCUGAAGAUGCUAGGAAGAAUCUGCUCCAUGCCUUUCCAUUCGCUUCUGGGGUUUCCUGCAAGCCCUGACAUUCCUUGGCUUGUAGAUGCAUCACCCCAGUUUCCGCCCCCAUCAUCACAUGGCCUCCUCUCUGUGUGUGCCUCUGCGUUCCCUCUAUUCUUCUUCUAAGGACACCGACACCAGUCAUAGUGGAUUAAGUGUCCACUCCUAACCAAUUACAUCUGCAACAACCCUAUUUCCAAAUAAAGUCACAUUCUAAGAUUCCUAGGGAGAACAUG